Molecule: unclassified non-coding RNA, 1037 nt
Filed under: Hevea brasiliensis (rubber tree)
Lineage: Eukaryota; Viridiplantae; Streptophyta; Magnoliopsida; Malpighiales; Euphorbiaceae
Source: RNAcentral
UCCUCCUUCUUCUUCUCCUUCUUCUAAGAAACAAUAACUAUACUCUAUCCUCUAAGAAACACACAAGUUUUCUAGAUUCAUUUAACUAGCUGCUUUUGGAAACAGUGUUUUAAAAUCUUGGGCUCUACUCAAAGCACCCUCUCUAUUUUUCAGAACAGUUAAAGUUGCUUGCUAAAAUCUUAAUAAUUGUUCCCUGUAAAAGAGGUGCAGGGACACUAUAGUCUUAGCAAUAUCUUCUAUUUAUUAACAAGAAAUAUUUUUGAGACAUACAAUCUUGAUCAUAAUCAGAUGUUGUAAUUUCAUUGACCAGUUUGCCAAAGGAAAAGAAAGAGGCAAAGAAUUGAAUGCUACAGUAACCCAUGGGCACUUGAUCAACGUCAGGAGAAGGAGACUAGCACAUACUUGUACAAGUCCCCAAAACAUGGUCAACAAAAUCAUUCAAAAGUCUACAAAUAUAAGAAUUCAAGUUCAACAUUUGUAAGCUGAGGCAAGAGAAGGCAAGUCAAAGUGCAGAAAUCCAAACCAGAUUAAUGUGAACCUUCACAGAACAGCUAAAGUCACUGUGAUUGUAAAAUCAUUUCAUGACUCUUUUAAAACGAAAAAAGCAGCAUCUUCACAAAAUAUCAUCCAAUAUAAAACGUCUUUAUUCACUUUCUGGCCUUGAUGCCCCGACACAGAAACUGUACCUUUGAUUGCUCAAAAUAAUUAUGAAUCGAAAUAAAACCAAAGAGUUCACUAAAUAUGAGUCUCUAAUCAAACACAAAUUUAAAUUCUUUAUUUCUUUUUGGAACGGUUGAAUAAUAACCCAAAAUUGAGUGGGGGAAAAAACAUUUUUUCCCACUGUUCUGUUCAGUCACUGAGAAAAUGGAGAAACAUAUCUCAAAAGAGCAAUUUUUAUCAUUGGGGCCUAUUCUCAAAUAACAAUGGAAUAAAAUAAAUACAGCAGAUUAUCUGAAUCAACUUCUCAUUUUUCAGUGAGUUGUCAGCAUCCAAACAAAUAAAUAGUGCAUGUAAUAGCAAGACAAAGAUGAAACAAG